UAUCACACUUAUGUUCUAAUAGAUUUUAACCCGCGGUAUACCGCGGAGACAAUUCAUUUUUUAAAAUUAAUAUAUAUAUAAUUUGUAAAUUAUUUUAUAGUUUACAAUUGUUACUAAGUAACGUCCUGCCAAACCCGUCCCGCCAAACCCGUUCACAA
This 158-nucleotide small RNA is filed under the name Arabidopsis thaliana (thale cress). RNAcentral's name for it is "ATSL109690". Lineage: Eukaryota; Viridiplantae; Streptophyta; Magnoliopsida; Brassicales; Brassicaceae. The record is from RNAcentral.